UACGGAGGGUGCAAGCGUUGUCCGGAUUCACUGGGUGUAAAGGGUGUGUAGGCGGAGCAGCAAGUCAGUGGUGAAAACCUGCGGCUUAACCGUAGAAUUGCCAUAGAUACUGCUGUUCUUGAGUACUGGAGAGGGUGCUAGAAUUCGUGGUGUAGCGGUGAAAUGCGUAGAUAUCACGAGGAAUACCAGAGGCGUAGGCGGGUAGCUGGUCAGAUACUGACGCUGAGGCACGAAAGCGUGGGGAGCAAACAGG
This 253-nucleotide ribosomal RNA is filed under the name uncultured bacterium. RNAcentral describes it as "partial 16S ribosomal RNA". It matches the Rfam family "Bacterial small subunit ribosomal RNA", at positions 524 to 776 of the family's 1533-position model. The record is from RNAcentral.